RNAcentral lists this unclassified non-coding RNA (240 nucleotides) under soil metagenome. Its description in RNAcentral is "partial contains 5.8S ribosomal RNA, internal transcribed spacer 2, and large subunit ribosomal RNA". The record is from RNAcentral.
AAGACUAUAGACCUGCGGAGUACCUGCGGAGGGAUCAUUACAGAGUUUACAACUCCCAAACCCACUGUGAACCUUACAGCGUCGUUGCCUCGGCGGACCGCCCCCGGCGCGGCCCCCCUCGGGGGGGCGCCCGGGACCACGGCGCCCGCCGGAGGACCCAAACUCUUGUAUUUGCAGGAUGCAUUGCUCUGAGUGAAAACAAGCAAAUGAAUCAAAACUUUUAACAAUGGAUCUCUAGAU